Molecule: long non-coding RNA, 713 nt
Filed under: Salvator merianae (Argentine black and white tegu)
Lineage: Eukaryota; Metazoa; Chordata; Lepidosauria; Squamata; Teiidae
Description: lncRNA (ENSSMRG00000006167.1)
Source: RNAcentral
AAAGAACAUGUGCUAAACAUCAUGUCGGGAAGCUUAGCGCAUUAAGAGGAACAGCGUGCUGGCUACGGACAAAUGGAAAUAGUUUGCAAUUCGUUAUAGGGAAUGGGGAGGGCCAUCCGGAAACGCAUCAGUUUAGAGCUUUCACAUCUUCUUGUCACUAUCCUGUGGAUCAGAUAUGGUAUACAUCACAGCAUAGCACCCUGUUAAUAUAUACCGACCUGCCCUUCCCCAUUCGCAUUUAUGAAGCUGGGCAGAGAAGGAAGCGAAGGACUGGCAAGUCCCACUGCAUCACACUUCCUCUUAAAGGAACAGAGGAAGAAGUUUGGAUUACAGUAUAAAAGUCAGGUCCCAAGGUGCUGCCUGUAUGAGGCAAUGGCUGUUGGGCAUGGUGAGUGCACCUGGAAACACUUCCCCCUCCCGAGAGCCAGAUUAUGAGCUUCCAUGAAACAGCAAAUCCUCUUCUGAUCCAGCUGAAAAGAGGUUCGCGGGUGCCAAGUGGACUUCACAGGAAGGUUGCGAACUGGCAGUCUGGAGUUCAAACGUAACUUACGGGCCAGCUCUCAGGAAUGGGAGGAACUUCUGGUUCGCUCACCCGCUCUGGCAGGAUUGUACCUGUUUCUAAGGCCAAGAAGCUUUAAGACUGGUCAGCGCCUAGAUAAGAAGCAUCCCAAGAACUAUGUAGAAAUUGUGUUCCAUGAUGGAAUAAAAGUGGG